RNAcentral lists this ribosomal RNA (496 nucleotides) under uncultured bacterium. RNAcentral's name for it is "bacterial SSU rRNA". It matches the Rfam family "Bacterial small subunit ribosomal RNA", at positions 28 to 517 of the family's 1533-position model. The record is from RNAcentral.
GAUGAACGCUAGCGGCAGGCUUAAUACAUGCAAGUCGUGGGGCAGCAGGUUUGUAGCGAUACAGAUGCUGGCGACCGGCAAACGGGUGCGGAACACGUACAGAACCUUCCUUUGAGCGGGGAAUAGCCCAGAGAAAUUUGGAUUAAUACCCCAUAGUAUAAUGAAGUGGCAUCACUUUAUUAUUAAAGAUUUAUCACUCGAAGAUGGCUGUGCGGCUGAUUAGGUAGUUGGCGGGGUAAAGGCCCACCAAGCCUGCGAUCAGUAACUGGUGUGAGAGCACGACCAGUCACACGGGCACUGAGACACGGGCCCGACUCCUACGGGAGCAGCAGUAAGGAAUAUUGGUCAAUGGAGGCAACUCUGAACCAGCCAUGCCGCGUGGAGGAUGAAGGUCCUCUGGAUUGUAAACUUCUUUAUAUGGGACGAAAAAAGGCUUUUCUAAGUCGUCUGACGGUACCAUAUGAAUAAGCACCGGCUAACUCCGUGCCAGCAGCCG